UGUUACACGAAAGAGAGUUGGACAAAGC
RNAcentral lists this small RNA (28 nucleotides) under Bombyx mori (domestic silkworm). Its description in RNAcentral is "ovarian small RNA-36004". The record is from RNAcentral. Lineage: Eukaryota; Metazoa; Arthropoda; Insecta; Lepidoptera; Bombycidae.